GCAGAAACUUCUUAUGAAGUUCAGAGUGCACUGCCACAGAGUGUGUUUUUUUUCCUCAAAUGUCUGUGCAGUCUGUCACCCUGUUAGAUGUGCAGCAGAGAGUGUUGCUUACAGUUGACGAGGGCCAGAUUGUUGGUCACAGUGAAGUGACAGGGAAGGAUGUUAUGAGAUGUACGCUGUCAUCGUGUGACGAGCAUGUGUUGAGUGAUGUCUAGGCAGAGCAGAGCAGUCAAUGUCUCGUUCUGUUUGGCAUACCGUGUAUCGUCUCAUUUACGCUGAUUGUUGUGCACUGUAAAGGGAUACUAGGGGAGCUUCAGUUUCACAACUUUCAAGAUGAACGUUUACUGGAUACCCACAAUCCUCCUCUCCCUCUGCCUCUCCAGUGCUGCCAACAUGAUAAGCUCCCACAACUGUAAAGUUCAGACAGAGUGUUCCCAGAGCGACUACAUGAGCACCAAACCCAGAGCUCCACUCAGGGGGCCCAGGAAGAAGCAGGGGGUCCAGCAUCCAAUCCGAAUGGGACGAUACUGACCACAGUCAUCCUCAGAUCACAAUCCUUCUCAUACAAACGCUAAACGAGAAUUGAGCCUUAAUUUGCCUUUGAGAGCUGACUGCUGAAACACACCAAGUUCUUUAUGUUAGCCUGUUCUUUAAGUCACGUGGUA
Oncorhynchus tshawytscha (Chinook salmon) is the source of this 665-nucleotide long non-coding RNA. The record is from Ensembl. NCBI's taxonomy places the organism in Eukaryota, Metazoa, Chordata, Actinopteri, Salmoniformes, Salmonidae.